UUAUAGUAUUAUCUAUAAAAUUUUGCAAGAUAUUUAUACACAUUCCUAAACCUUAUGAUAGUUUAUGCUAUAUUAAUCUCCAAGUUCAAAAUUUUCAGUAUUUUAAUUCAUGUUUACAAGCUUUAUUAUUUUUUAUCUAUUUCCUUAUAGAGUUUUAAUCAUCAAGAGCCAAUAGUUGAAAUAUAUUAUUUAUGCUUUGUUAUUGAUAUUUAAGUUCAGAUGAGGAGACAGGUUUUUUUUCUUUUAAAUCCCAUUACAAGGCCCCAUUCCAAGCCACAUACAUGGAAUGAAUCUAGGAACACUAGCUGAAGCGGGAUUGCACCAUUUAACUCAAUCUGUGCAUUGCACACUCAUGCCCAUACUUAAGAGUAUGACCAAACUA
This 382-nucleotide long non-coding RNA is filed under the name Phoenix dactylifera (date palm). Its description in RNAcentral is "long non-coding RNA (PDAC_LNC012419)". The record is from RNAcentral. Lineage: Eukaryota; Viridiplantae; Streptophyta; Magnoliopsida; Arecales; Arecaceae.